RNAcentral lists this ribosomal RNA (228 nucleotides) under uncultured bacterium. Its description in RNAcentral is "partial 16S ribosomal RNA". It matches the Rfam family "Bacterial small subunit ribosomal RNA", at positions 103 to 334 of the family's 1533-position model. The record is from RNAcentral.
CGGGUGAGUAAUGUAUGGGGAUCUGCCUGAUGGCGGGGGAUAACUACUGGAAACGGUAGCUAAUACCGCAUAAUGUCUGCGGACCAAAGCGGGGGACCUCCGGGCCUCUUGCCAUCGGAUGUGCCCAGAUGGGAUUAGCUAGUAGGUGGGGUAACGGCUCACCUAGGUGACGAUCCCUAGCUGGUCUGAGAGGAUGACCAGCCACACUGGAACUGAGACACGGUCCAG